UAUUACUGAGGUGUGUACAUCUGGAAAUCUAAGAAAUUACAGGAAGAAGCAUCGCCAUGUCUCCUUGAAAGCCUUGAAGAAAUGGUCGAAGCAGGUACUUGAGGGGUUAGAGUAUCUCCAUACACACGACCCAUGCAUUAUUCACAGAGAUCUGAAUUGCAGCAACAUCUUUGUUAAUGGGAACGUUGGCCAGGUGAAAAUUGGUGACCUUGGCUUUGCAACAAUAGUGGGGAAGAGCCAUGCAGCGCAUUCAGUCAUAGGCACACCAGAAUAUAUGGCACCAGAGCUGUAUGAGGAGGAUUACACUGAGUUGGUGGACAUAUACUCUUUUGGAAUGUGCUUGCUAGAGAUGGUUACAACAGAGAUACCAUACAGUGAAUGUGACAGUGUUGCCAAGAUAUACAAGAAGGUGACAACUGGAGUAAAGCCUCAAGCCUUGAACAAGAUAGAAAAUCCAGAAGUGAAGGUUUUUAUUGAGAAGUGCAUAGCUGAGCCAAGGGCAAGACCUUCAGCCUCUGAUCUUCUCAAGGAUCCCUUCUUUUUUGAAGUCAACAAUGAUGAUGAGUCGGAGGACCCAGAAGCUUAAUGUUUCAGGUGAACUCUAUGCUUGAAGGUCUUUGACGUUUCUUUGAAUCAGUGCCACCGAUAGUUAGGUUUCUAAUGGAAGUAUGAAUCUAAAACUACUAACCGCAACUCCUCUCCCUGCUCUGAUGUAAAUAAAUAAUGGUAGUUGUGUCUGUUUUAGAAGGUU
RNAcentral lists this unclassified non-coding RNA (751 nucleotides) under Hevea brasiliensis (rubber tree). Lineage: Eukaryota; Viridiplantae; Streptophyta; Magnoliopsida; Malpighiales; Euphorbiaceae. The record is from RNAcentral.